This 482-nucleotide ribosomal RNA is filed under the name uncultured bacterium. RNAcentral's name for it is "partial 16S ribosomal RNA". It matches the Rfam family "Bacterial small subunit ribosomal RNA", at positions 30 to 507 of the family's 1533-position model. The record is from RNAcentral.
AUUGAACGCUGGCGGCAUGCCUUACACAUGCAAGUCGAACGGUAACGGGCCUUCGGGUGCCGACGAGUGGCGAACGGGUGAGUAAUACAUCGGAACGUGCCCGAUCGUGGGGGAUAACGAGGCGAAAGCUUUGCUAAUACCGCAUACGAUCUACGGAUGAAAGCAGGGGACCGCAAGGCCUCGCGCGGACGGAGCGGCCGAUGUCAGAUUAGGUAGUUGGUGGGGUAAAAGCUUACCAAGCCGACGAUCUGUAGCUGGUCUGAGAGGAUGAUCAGCCACACUGGGACUGAGACACGGCCCAGACUCCUACGGGAGGCAGCAGUGGGGAAUUUUGGACAAUGGGCGCAAGCCUGAUCCAGCCAUGCCGCGUGCAGGAUGAAGGCCUUCGGGUUGUAAACUGCUUUUGUACGGAACGAAAAGCCUUCUUUUAAUACAGGAGGGUCAUGACGGUACCGUAAGAAUAAGCACCGGCUAACUACGUG